CAGCAUAGGGUUUCAGCAAUGAAAUUCGGAUGGCGACCGGCGCACGGGUGAGUAACACGUAUCCAACCUACCCAUAACAGGGGGAUAACACUGAGAAAUUGGUACUAAUACCCCAUAAUAUCAUAGAAGGCAUCUUUUAUGGUUGAAAAUUCCGAUGGUUAGAGAUGGGCAUGCGUUGUAUUAGCUGGUUGGUGAGGUAACGGCUCACCAAGGCAACGAUACAUAGGGGGACUGAGAGGUUAACCCCCACAUUGGUACUGAGACACGGACCAAACUCC
Molecule: ribosomal RNA, 278 nt
Filed under: uncultured Alistipes sp.
Lineage: Bacteria; Pseudomonadati; Bacteroidota; Bacteroidia; Bacteroidales; Rikenellaceae
Description: partial 16S ribosomal RNA
Rfam family: Bacterial small subunit ribosomal RNA
Source: RNAcentral